AGUGAACGCUGGCGGCAGGCCUAACACAUGCAAGUCGAACGGCAGCACAGUAAGAGCUUGCUCUUACGGGUGGCGAGUGGCGGACGGGUGAGGUAUACACCGGAAUCUACUUUUUCGUGGGGGCUAACGUAGGGAAAUUUACGCUAAUACCGCAUACGUCCUACGGGUGAAAGCAGGGGAUCUUCGGACCUUGCGCGAUUGAAUGAGCCGACGUCGGAUUAGCUAGUUGGCGGGGUAAAGGCCCACCAAGGCGACGAUCCGUAGGUGGUCUGAGAGGAUGAUUCGCCACACUGGAACUGAGACACGGUCCAGACUCCUACGGGAGGCCGCAGUGGGGAAUAUUGGGCAAUGGGCGCAAGCCUGAUCCAGCAAUACCGCGUGGGUGAAGAAGGCCUUCGGGUUGUAAAGCCAUUUUGUUGGGAAAGAAAAGCAGCAGGUUAAUACCCCGCUGUUCUGACGGUACCCAAAGAAUAAGCACCGGCUAACUUCGUG
Molecule: ribosomal RNA, 492 nt
Filed under: uncultured bacterium
Lineage: Bacteria
Description: partial 16S ribosomal RNA
Rfam family: Bacterial small subunit ribosomal RNA
Source: RNAcentral